RNAcentral lists this unclassified non-coding RNA (376 nucleotides) under soil metagenome. RNAcentral describes it as "partial contains 5.8S ribosomal RNA, internal transcribed spacer 2, and large subunit ribosomal RNA". The stretch from base 1 to 120 matches the Rfam family "5.8S ribosomal RNA", at positions 35 to 154 of the family's 154-position model. The record is from RNAcentral.
GAUGAAGAACGUAGUGAAAUGCGAUAAGUAAUGUGAAUUGCAGAAUUCAGUGAAUCAUCGAAUCUUUGAACGCAUCUUGCGCUCCUUGGUAUUCUGAGGAGCAUGCCUGUUUGAGUGUCAUUAAAUUCUCAACUACACUGACUUUGAAUUGGUGUGGCUUGGAUUUGGGGGGAAAAUUGUUGUGGGCUUUUUGUAUAGUCUGCUCCCCUGAAAUUGAUUAGCGGUACCUUUAUGGAACUGUCUACAGGUGUGAUAAUUAUCUACAUCUUAGACAUCUGCUGGAAUGCUGCUUUCUAAACCUUACUUGUAUUGACAAUCUUGACCUCAAAUCAGGUAGGACUACCCGCUGAACUUAAGCAUAUCAAUAAGCGGAGGA